UUUCUCCUUUUUUUUUAUUUUUUUUUUAUUUUUUUUUUUAUUUACAU
This 47-nucleotide non-coding RNA is filed under the name Oxyrrhis marina. The record is from RNAcentral. Lineage: Eukaryota; Dinophyceae; Oxyrrhinales; Oxyrrhinaceae.